RNAcentral lists this ribosomal RNA (515 nucleotides) under uncultured bacterium. Its description in RNAcentral is "partial 16S ribosomal RNA". It matches the Rfam family "Bacterial small subunit ribosomal RNA", at positions 28 to 523 of the family's 1533-position model. The record is from RNAcentral.
GACGAACGCUGGCGGCGUGCCUAAUACAUGCAAGUCGAGCGAAUGGAUUAAGAGCUUGCUCUUAUGAAGUUAGCGGCGGACGGGUGAGUAACACGUGGGUAACCUGCCCAUAAGACUGGGAUAACUCCGGGAAACCGGGGCUAAUACCGGAUAACAUUUUGAACCGCAUGGUUCGAAAUUGAAAGGCAGCUUCGGCUGUCACUUAUGGAUGGACCCGCGUCGCAUUAGCUAGUUGGUGAGGUAACGGCUCACCAAGGCAACGAUGCGUAGCCGACCUGAGAGGGUGAUCGGCCACACUGGGACUGAGACACGGCCCAGCAUCCGACGGGAGGCAGCAGUAGGGAAUCUUCCGCAAUGGACGAAAGUCUGACGGAGCAACGCCGCGUGGGUGAUGAAGGCUUUCGGGUCGUAAAACUCUGUUGUUAGGGAAGAACAAGUGCUAGUUGAAUAAGCUGGCACCUUGACGGUACCUAACCAGAAAGCCACGGCUAAUUACGUGCCAGCAGCCGCCGUAA